RNAcentral lists this ribosomal RNA (851 nucleotides) under Wolbachia endosymbiont of Hydrometra stagnorum. RNAcentral's name for it is "bacterial SSU rRNA". It matches the Rfam family "Bacterial small subunit ribosomal RNA", at positions 93 to 983 of the family's 1533-position model. Lineage: Bacteria; Pseudomonadati; Pseudomonadota; Alphaproteobacteria; Rickettsiales; Anaplasmataceae. The record is from RNAcentral.
UAGUGGCAGACGGGUGAGUAAUGUAUAGGAAUCUACCUAGUAGUACGGAAUAAUUGUUGGAAACGGCAACUAAUACCGUAUACGCCCUACGGGGGAAAAUUUAUUGCUAUUAGAUGAGCCUAUAUUAGAUUAGCUAGUUGGUGGAGUAAUAGCCUACCAAGGCAAUGAUCUAUAGCUGAUCUGAGAGGAUGAUCAGCCACACUGGAACUGAGAUACGGUCCAGACUCCUACGGGAGGCAGCAGUGGGGAAUAUUGGACAAUGGGCGAAAGCCUGAUCCAGCCAUGCCGCAUGAGUGAAGAAGGCCUUUGGGUUGUAAAGCUCUUUUAGUGAGGAAGAUAAUGACGGUACUCACAGAAGAAGUCCUGGCUAACUCCGUGCCAGCAGCCGCGGUAAUACGGAGAGGGCUAGCGUUAUUCGGAAUUAUUGGGCGUAAAGGGCGCGUAGGCUGGUUAAUAAGUUAAAAGUGAAAUCCCGAGGCUUAACCUUGGAAUUGCUUUUAAAACUAUUAAUCUAGAGAUUGAAAGAGGAUAGAGGAAUUCCUGAUGUAGAGGUAAAAUUCGUAAAUAUUAGGAGGAACACCAGUGGCGAAGGCGUCUAUCUGGUUCAAAUCUGACGCUGAAGCGCGAAGGCGUGGGGAGCAAACAGGAUUAGAUACCCUGGUAGUCCACGCUGUAAACGAUGAAUGUUAAAUAUGGGAAGUUUACUUUCUGUAUUACAGCUAACGCGUUAAACAUUCCGCCUGGGGACUACGGUCGCAAGAUUAAAACUCAAAGGAAUUGACGGGGACCCGCACAAGCGGUGGAGCAUGUGGUUUAAUUCGAUGCAACGCGAAAAACCUUACCACUUCUUG